Molecule: ribosomal RNA, 403 nt
Filed under: uncultured bacterium
Lineage: Bacteria
Description: partial 16S ribosomal RNA
Rfam family: Bacterial small subunit ribosomal RNA
Source: RNAcentral
GACGAACGCUGGCGGCGUGCCUAAUACAUGCAAGUCGAAAGCAGUGGGGACGGGUGAGUAACACGUGGGUAACCUCCCAUCAGAGGGGAUAACACUUGGAAACAGGUGCUAACCCGAUAUGGAUGGAUGGACCAGCUGUUCAUUAGCUAGUUGGUGAGGUAACGGCUAACCAAGGACACGAGGCAUAGCCGACCUGAGAGGGGGAUCGGCCACACUGGUACUGAGACACGGCCCAGACUCCUACGGGAGGCAGCAGUAGGGAAUCUUCGGCAAUGGACGAAAUUCUGACCGAGCAACGCCGCGUGAGUGAAGAAGGUUUUCGGAUCGUAAACCUCUGUUGUUAGAGAAGCGGUAUCUAACCAGAAAGCCACGGCUAACUACGUGCCAGCAGCCGCGGUAAUUC